AUGGACUCGGGGGGCGGCGAGCAGCUGAGCCUGGCCGCGGUGCGCGACCAGCUGAUCCGCGAGGAGGACUCCAUCGUCUUCGCGCUCAUCGAGCGGGCCAAACGCCCGCGCAACACACCGGCCUACUCGGCCGCCGCCGGCGGCGGCUCCCUCGCCGAGUUCUUCGUCCGGGAAGCCCAGGUCCUGCACGCCAAGGCUGGACACUAUCAAAAGCCAGAAGAUGUUCCAUUCUUCUCUCAAGAUCUUCCACCACCUGUCUUUCCUACCAAAGGUCACCCAAAGGUUUUGCACCCUUUUGCUUCAUCGGUCUGUGUGAAUGAUGCAAUAUGGAAGAUGUAUUUCAAUGAAUUGCUACCAUUAUUCACUGCGGAUGGCGAUGAUGGCAACUAUGCAGAAACAGUUGCAUUAGAUUUUGCAUGUCUGCAGGCUCUCUCAAGAAGAAUUCAUUGUGGAAAAUAUGUUGCUGAGGUGAAAUUCAGAGACGCACCUCAAGAUUAUAGCCCACCAAUACGUGCUAAGGACACCAAUGCUCUUAUGAACUUACUAACAUUCACGGCAGUUGAAGAAAAGGUCAAGAAGAGAGUAGAGAAGAAGGCAAGGAUAUUUGGACAGAUUGUCACUCUGGAGGACAGUGCAGGCAAGCAAGAUGGUGAUGCCUGUGACAGUCACUGUAAAGUUGAUCCAAAAGUGCUUUCUAAGCUAUAUGAUAUGUGGGUAAUGCCUUUAACGAAGGAUGUUGAAGUCGAAUAUCUUCUUCGGCGUCUUGACUGA
RNAcentral lists this ribosomal RNA (771 nucleotides) under Triticum aestivum (bread wheat). RNAcentral's name for it is "partial small subunit ribosomal RNA". Lineage: Eukaryota; Viridiplantae; Streptophyta; Magnoliopsida; Poales; Poaceae. The record is from RNAcentral.